This is a non-coding RNA of Camelina sativa (false flax), 348 nucleotides long. NCBI's taxonomy places the organism in Eukaryota, Viridiplantae, Streptophyta, Magnoliopsida, Brassicales, Brassicaceae. The record is from RefSeq and is a predicted model, not a curated record.
UACGAUGAGACAAUUGGAUUCAUAGUUCAUGAGGAUGCAAAAACUCUUGGUCGUGAUGCUAAAGAUCGAUAUACUGUAUGAGAUUCGUCAGCUUGGCCGGGGGAAAAAGAGAAGACUUCAAAGUUCAAAUGGAAAGUCAUAUGAGAACAUGACUUCUAGCUGCGUCUGAUCCAUCUUUACUGUAAAAAGAUGCACAAUUAGGAUUUGAUGUGAUCAGCGUUUUCUCACUUUCAGCUAUUAGAAUUGGUUGUAUUAGUUUUAUUCAUGUACACGAUUUCCUAAAAAGCAACUUCGAAAUUGAAUUCCUUACGUUAUCACUUAUCAAUAUUCUAGAAAUUGUUUUAGGUA